ACCUUAAUAAAAUCUCUAAAUAUCACCAAAGUAAUUGUUUGAGUCGGACAUACCAAAAUAAAUGCUUACAAAUCCAACAGUUAAUUUUGUCUUAAAUUAUUACUAUCAUUUAAGUUGAUGACACGAAAAUAAAUGAGUAUUUGACUAACAAAUUAUAUUUUUAAGAUAUCCUUAAUAUCUUUGGCAAAUUUCAGUCAAAAUAUUUGAGAAUUGGCUAAUUAUACUGAUCAGUUUCAGGAACAGCAAUUAUUACUCAUUCCAAAUCAAUAUUCUUCAUCUUUAACAACAAUUUAAGAAAUUGAGUAAAUUACACUAAAACGUCAUGAGUGGACCCCAUUAACAAUCGCGCGCAAAUGCAGUGUGCUCAUGGGAAAUCUACUUUUCUAUCUGCGCCACAUGUGGCAACCGCAACAAGCAAGGAAACACCACGACGAGAACCACCAGGAAAACUCCCUGCAAAUCCUGCACCGACUGCGCUAACGGAGAGAAGUUGAACGAAGAUAACAAAACAGAGGAGGUUGCAGCUUAUGGGAUGGCAAUGUAAGCUCUGCACAUGUGUGGCUUCAGCGAAAGGGUCACUUCUCAAGCACUAUCGAUUGAAGCACGGUACCUUUGGAAUCUGGGAGAAGAUGCGAGUGCCUUGAUCAAGGACUUUGAGGAUGCUGCUGAUGCACCUGUCAGUGUACAAGAGGAGUUGGCAGAGGAGGUGAUGAAGAUGUACCUGCUGCAGAACCAAGAUGGGUCAGUCGAUGAACCUACUGAUGUAGGGAUUGUGAUUGAGGGCAUCCCUGUCCUCAGAAG
Molecule: long non-coding RNA, 801 nt
Organism: Trematomus bernacchii (emerald rockcod)
Lineage: Eukaryota; Metazoa; Chordata; Actinopteri; Perciformes; Nototheniidae
Exons: 4
Source: RefSeq, a predicted model, not a curated record